GACGAACGCUGGCGGCGUGCUUAACACAUGCAAGUCGAACGGGGAUAUACUGGAGGAGAGCUUCGGCAGGAAUCGGGUAUAUUCCAGUGGCGGACGGGUGAGUAACGCGUGAACAAUCUGUCCCAGACAGGGGGAUAACACAUGGAAACGUGUGCUAAUACCGCAUAUGGAGCAUUUAUCGCAUGGUAGAAGCUUAAAAGAUUUAUCGCUUAUGGAUGGACUCGCGUAAGAUUAGCUAGUUGGUGAGGUAACGGCUCACCAAGGCGACGAUCUUUAGCCGAACUGAGAGGUUGAUCGGCCACAUUGGGACUGAGACACGGCCCAG
RNAcentral lists this ribosomal RNA (325 nucleotides) under uncultured bacterium. RNAcentral's name for it is "bacterial SSU rRNA". It matches the Rfam family "Bacterial small subunit ribosomal RNA", at positions 28 to 334 of the family's 1533-position model. The record is from RNAcentral.